CAGCAGCCACGGGAAUACAGAGGGUGCGAGCGUUAAUCGGAUUUACUGGGCGUAAAGCGUGCGUAGGCGGCUUUUUAAGUCGGAUGUGAAAUCCCUGAGCUUAACUUAGGAAUUGCAUUCGAUACUGGGAAGCUAGAGUAUGGGAGAGGAUGGUAGAAUUCCAGGUGUAGCGGUGAAAUGCGUAGAGAUCUGGAGGAAUACCGAUGGCGAAGGCAGCCAUCUGGCCUAAUACUGACGCUGAGGUACGAAAGCAUGGGGAGCAAACAGGAUUAGAUACCCCAGUAGUCCCUGUCUCUUAUAC
RNAcentral lists this ribosomal RNA (301 nucleotides) under uncultured bacterium. RNAcentral's name for it is "partial 16S ribosomal RNA". It matches the Rfam family "Bacterial small subunit ribosomal RNA", at positions 509 to 807 of the family's 1533-position model. The record is from RNAcentral.